Phrynosoma platyrhinos (Desert horned lizard) is the source of this 73-nucleotide non-coding RNA. The record is from the annotation of a GenBank genome assembly. NCBI's taxonomy places the organism in Eukaryota, Metazoa, Chordata, Lepidosauria, Squamata, Phrynosomatidae.
GGCAGCGUUGUGUAGUGGUUUGAGUGCCAGACUAGGACUCUGGAAGACCAGGUUUCAAAUCCCUACUCAGGCA